Columba livia (rock pigeon) is the source of this 623-nucleotide long non-coding RNA. RefSeq lists it as uncharacterized. The transcript has 2 exons. The record is from RefSeq and is a predicted model, not a curated record. Lineage: Eukaryota; Metazoa; Chordata; Aves; Columbiformes; Columbidae.
UCUGUACGGAUUGCCAGGACCUUGUUGCUAAGCAGAGAGCCGCAGGUUGGCCGGUCUGUCUCUGGACGAGCUGAAGAAUUGCUCUGAUCCCCUGCCACGUAGCCCCACAUGCCCUCGGUCGGUGUUGGAAAUGAGCCACACUGCUUGCACGAAGCAUCUCCAAAGUUUUUUGUCUAUGGAAAUAAAUCAAGUGGCUGCAAAGCCCGGGCAGACGGUGCAGAGCCGGGAGGCAGGAGGGCUCCCUGCAGCGCCGACAGCAGCAGGAGCAGCACCCGCCUGCCAGCGCCAGCUCUGGGCUCUUCUCCUCCUUUCCGUGCUGUCUGGGGACAGAGAGAGCGACCAGGUCUGCAGCACCUGGAACAACAGGACUGAGAUGUCAGCUGAGGGAUGCCGGCAGCAGAUAAUCACCAACCUGAGUCAUCAGGUUUGCAUCAACACAAAGCUGCUCCAUCAGAUACAGCCUGUGCCCCAGCCAGCCCUUCUCGGGGCCUUGCUGUGGAAACCCUCCCGACAGCAGGUCUGUCCUGGGGCAGGUUCCUCCCUGGACCUCCACACCCGUUUGGGGCACGAACAGCCCCAGGCUCUGGGGAAUGUUUCUGAAUAAAACCAGAGGAGAUAUAAGG